Molecule: non-coding RNA, 2465 nt
Organism: Aegilops tauschii subsp. strangulata
Lineage: Eukaryota; Viridiplantae; Streptophyta; Magnoliopsida; Poales; Poaceae
Source: RefSeq, a predicted model, not a curated record
CGUCGAAACAGAGCAGCACGGCUCGCAAAGUACUCCCCAGUGUCCGUUCUGCUGGUAGAAAACCAUGCGCGCCCGGUGUGAAGUACACGUCCCGGCAGGCGCACCGCAGUAGCCACGUCUUGAAAGCCAGCGAGGGGCGGACGAGCACGCCGUCGCCGCCCUCCUCGUCGUCCUCCUCCCACUUCUCACGGCAGGGAGAUAGUGAGAGCGGGCGUGCCGAUCUUCUGGCGCCAACGAUGGCGGGCUUGACCAGCGACAGCGAUGAUAAUGAUAAGUUUGAGUGGGAAAGUGAUGGUGAGGCUGCGCCCUCAUCAGCUCCGACCUUGAGGAACUUGGAUGCUCCUGGCCCGUCCACGCUGGUACGUCAGAAUUCUAACGGGUGGGCCAACGGGGAAGCAACCUCUACUUCUUUAGUCGAGGAAUAUGUGACAAUGGGUUUCCCAAAAGACAUGGUUGUGAAGGGCAUUAAGGAGAUUGGGCACAAUGAUGUAAAUGCGUUGCUAGAGCUACUUCUCACAUAUAAGGCACUAGGUGAUGAGGGUGCAUUGGGUGAUUGCUCUACGUCUGGCUGUGCCUGCCCAAAUGUUCAAGAUGAUGAUGAUGAUGAUCUUGAUUCCGAUAACUGGGAUAACGACAAUGAUACUGGUGGUAGAGAGCACAACUCUGAUAGUUCUGGUGAUGAGGAUUUUCUAAAAGAGAUGUCGGCGAAGGACGAGAAGAUAAACUUAUUAGUAGACAUGGGCUUUUCUGAAGAUGAAGCCAAUAUGGCUAUGACAACAUGUGGUGUGGAUGCUGAUCUCUGUGUAUUAGUUGAUUCGAUUAGUGCAUCACGGGUUGCAGGAGAUUGCCAUUCCAGAAAUUUAUUUGACGAUCAGGUUAUGGAUAGAUGCUUUGAUUCCUUUGGAGAGAGAGAGAAAGCAAGAUUGAUGGAAGAGCGCAAGAAAAAGAGGAAGCGAUAUGGAGGUGGAUCACAUGGCAAUCGAUCUUCCUUGGAUGGUAGCGAUGAUGAACAAAUGCAUCUCCCAAAUCCAAUGGUUGGAUUUAACCUGCCCGGUUAUAGGCGGCCAUCAGUGAUGAGAAUGCUUCCUCAACAAGCUAUUGGACCACCUUUUUUCUACUAUGAAAAUGUGGCCCGAACUCCAAGAGGUGUAUGGGAGACCAUUUCAAGAUUUCUGUAUGACAUUGAACCAGAGUUUGUGGAUUCUAUGCAUUUGUCUGCAGCUGCAAGGAAAAGAGGCUACAUCCAUAAUUUACCAAUUGAGAACAGAUCACCUCUUCUUCCUCUGCCUCCAAAGACCAUAUUUGAGGCAUUUCCUCAUUAUAAGAAGUGGUGGCCUUCUUGGGACCCGAGAAGACAACUCAAUUGUUUGCAAACAACUGUGGCAAGUGCAAAGACGACAGAGCGGAUCCAGUGUCUUCUUGCAAGGUCAAGCAAUCCACCACCUCCAAGUGUUCAGAAAUAUGUCAUUGAUGAGUGUAGAAAAUGGAAUCUUGUCUGGGUUGGAAAAAACAAGGUUGCUCCGUUGGAGCCUAAUGAGGUGGAAUAUCUACUUGGUUUCCCAAGGGACCACACAAGGGGGGUCGGCAAGACCGAGAGAUAUAAAUCUCUUGGCAACUCAUUCCAUGUUGAUACUGUUGCUUACCACUUGUCGGUGCUGAGGGACAUGUUUCCUAAUGGUGUUAGUGUGCUGUCCUUGUUCACCGGUAUUGGAGGAGGAGAGGUAGCUUUGCACAGGCUUGGGAUUCACAUGAGGGCAGUGGUUUCUGUUGAGAUAGGUGAAGCUAAUAGGAGGAUUUUGAGGGGUUGGUGGGAUCAGACCCAGACAGGCACGCUGAUUGAGGUUGCUGACGUGAAAUCUCUCACCCCUGAUAUAAUUGCAUCAUACGUUGGUAGAUUUGGCGGCUUCGACUUGGUGAUUGGGGGCAGCCCAUGUAACAAUCUUGCCGGGAGCAACCGACACCACCGUGAUGGCUUGGAGGGCGAGCAAUCUUCUUUGUUCUACCACUACUUCAGAAUCUUGGAUGUCGUCAAGUCGGCUAUGGCGAGGAUGUAGGCUAUGGCAAGGAUGUAGCCUAAGCAUUGUAGUACCCUAUCUUAUCACGUAGUGUUUAACCGCAACUUCUUUUGUUCUACAUAGAGUAAGAGGCUUCUUUUGUUUAGUUGCUUCAUGUCCUUUUCUUUGCUUGCACUUACAACUAUGUAUCAAGCACUUAAAUCUGUGGGUUCCAGGCUAUGAAAAUGGGGCUUCAAAGUCAGGAAAGAAGUAUGCCAGGUUCUUAGGUGUCUCAAGUUUGUAAGGUUCAGAACUUGGGUUCAGAUUUUCUGAUAGUGAUUGUUAUGUUUAGAGCCUGCCUAGUGCCCUGUACUCCUGGUGCACAGAAUGUUAACUGGCAAAAACCAAAAAUAGUAGCUUCGAUCUGUAUUCUGUAGUGAAUGAAUGGAAAUAAUCAUUAUCAAACUAUCA